GAUAGGUCAUGUUUAAGCCGUAGAUUACGCAAAUAACCGUACCUACGGCGCCACGUAUGUUGUUAAGCUGUUCCUAAUCACCAUUAAAUUAAUUUGAUGUCUAAAUAAAUAAACAAAAUAUAAUUAGAUCAAACUCACCUAGUAAACUCUCAAAUUGUCUCCUUAAUUUUUAAUUAUACGACUACUUAAAGAAUUUAUAAGUCCCGGCGGCAUGUUUUAAGUUCAUUGGAAGGAUGAUGGAAUCUAUUUAGAAGGCACUAGAAAUGAAUAGAAUCUAUAAUAAUAAAACAGGCUUUUCUCUCACCUUAGCCUUCCACGUCCCUCUUUAGAGGUGGGCAUUUGUUAACAUGUGUCGCCAUUUAAUUGGUUGCGUUUUUUCUGUUUUUUUUCUUAUUCGAUUUGGGCUUCGGCUAAUGUGAUGGCUAUUUAGUUUUUAUUUCACAGCCCAUUUUAAAGCCCGCUCAUAUGAACUGAUGGAGCUUAGGGUUUUCCCGUAUCGUCUUCUACCUUCUCAUCCUCGACCGCGAGACCAGAGAUUCGAGCCUGUUCAAAAUCCUUAACGCCUCCAAUUUCAAUAACUCUGCAACUUAACUCCACCUCACCCCUUUUAAUCCAGUCCUUCCACUUGAAUUGCUCAAUCAAUACACCUCUUCGUAUUCCACCGUACCCAGCUUAAUCCUCAGCUAUAAAUACGGCAUCUCACCAUCUUAAGAUGCACACCUCAAAUCAGACAGUAAUGGCACUCACCAACGCUCUCCAGUAUAUCCGGUUCAAUGCCUCUUUACUCCUCCUGAAACUCUCUCAUGGUAUAGAUAUGUAGAACGCCGGAGACCUUCGAGGCAAAGCUUUUUCGUCCUGCUUGAAUAUUAAACAAGCACUCGCUUUCUGAAACCCCGACAAUCUUGAAUCAAGAGCUACGUUUCUCUGAGCUGAAGGCUGGUACCAGGGAAUUAAUCCCGCUGGAGCUUUUCAUGUUUUCCAAUUACGACCAGUUGAUGUUGUAGGUGAACCACCAACACCUAUUUGCCCGAUAUUUUUUUCAUAUCUCCCGAAGAUUAAAAGAGAUCUCAAAACUUGGGCAGCCAUGGCAAGCACCAAAGUCCAGAGGAUUAUGAUCCAGCUAAUUAAAGAUCUGGGCACAGAAGAAAUAUGAAUUCAUUAGAAAAGAAAAUACCCAUCUGAGCGAGAGCCUCCAACUUCAACAAGCUUCCUACACCUCAUACUCUUUCUUGCCGUGUUGAGGAAGAGUUAUGUCCCUCUUAGCCAAGCCCUAAAGUCCAGCAAGAAAGAGUUGAGGCUAGACUAAGAGAAGGCAGAGCAGUGAACAUGCGCAUGAUUUGUUGUCGCAAGGAAAAUGCGACAAGUACAAUACUUGCCUUUGGAGAUUGAUAACCGAGCUUAGAUGCUACGCCACUAAACCGAACCAAGACGCCAUACCCAAAAUAUCCGACCAGAAGAGGAAUCUGGCUUAGUAGGUGUUCAAUCAGUUUCUCGAAGAUAGCCAUGACGAGGAACAUUGAGAUGAGAAUGUCUGUAACUACAAAACCAGAGGAAACGGCGUUAACUAAGUCAUCAAAUCGAGAUUUGCAUGGUUCUUCUCGCCAGUUGUACACCAGAGCUCCAAUGGGAGGCCAUGGAUGGUUCUUCUGGCCUUAGUGUUGUUAGUUCGUUAAGGUGAAAUAGAGAGAGAAGUUAGAUGAAAAAGGAGAAGAUAGUGAGCAAUAUGUGAUAAUGUGAAAGUUUUGGGAUUUUGUUAGAAAUUAAAGAAUUGUAACUUUUUGGGGACACACGUUGUCUUCUUACUCUGCUUUUUUGAGAUUUGCAAAGAAAAUAGUGAUGUUUGCUAU
Long non-coding RNA from Brassica napus (rape), 1847 nucleotides. RefSeq lists it as uncharacterized. The transcript has 5 exons. The record is from RefSeq and is a predicted model, not a curated record. NCBI's taxonomy places the organism in Eukaryota, Viridiplantae, Streptophyta, Magnoliopsida, Brassicales, Brassicaceae.